GAUGAAGAACGCAGCGAAAUGCGAUAAGUAAUGUGUAUUGCAGAAUUCAGUGAAUCAUCGAAUCUUUGAACGCACAUUGCGCCCGCCAGUAUUCUGGCGGGCAUGCCUGUUCGAGCGUCAUUUCAACCAUCAAGCCCCCGGCUUGUGUUGGGGACCUGCGGCUGCCGCAGGCCCUGAAAAGCAGUGGCGGGCUCGCUGUCACACCGAGCGUAGUAGCAUACAUCUCGCUCUGGGCGUGCUGCGGGUUCCGGCCGUUAAACCACCUUCAUAACCCAAGGUUGACCUCGGAUCAGGUAGGAAGACCCGCUGAACUUAAGAAUAUCAAUAAGCGGAGGA
This 336-nucleotide unclassified non-coding RNA is filed under the name soil metagenome. RNAcentral describes it as "partial contains 5.8S ribosomal RNA, internal transcribed spacer 2, and large subunit ribosomal RNA". The stretch from base 1 to 120 matches the Rfam family "5.8S ribosomal RNA", at positions 35 to 154 of the family's 154-position model. The record is from RNAcentral.